Molecule: non-coding RNA, 88 nt
Organism: Acanthosepion pharaonis
Lineage: Eukaryota; Metazoa; Mollusca; Cephalopoda; Sepiida; Sepiidae
Source: the annotation of a GenBank genome assembly
GGUUCCCCUAUGAUCACCGAUGUUAAGCAACGUCGAAACUAGUCAGUACCUAGAUGGGUGAUCUCUUGGGAAUACCAGGUGCUGUAAG